CCCUUGCUGGGGGGCCGGUUCGCCGGAUGGCCAGCCGUGGAUUAGACGGUGAGUGCCACGUUUCAGGAAAACCCCGUCAGCC
This 82-nucleotide small RNA is filed under the name Castellaniella defragrans 65Phen. RNAcentral's name for it is "Proteo-phage-1 RNA". It matches the Rfam family "Proteo-phage-1 RNA". Lineage: Bacteria; Pseudomonadati; Pseudomonadota; Betaproteobacteria; Burkholderiales; Alcaligenaceae. The record is from Rfam by way of RNAcentral.